This 435-nucleotide ribosomal RNA is filed under the name uncultured bacterium. Its description in RNAcentral is "partial 16S ribosomal RNA". It matches the Rfam family "Bacterial small subunit ribosomal RNA", at positions 29 to 507 of the family's 1533-position model. The record is from RNAcentral.
AGCGAACGCUGGCGGCAGGCUUAACACAUGCAAGUCGAGCGGGCACCUUCGGGUGUCAGCGGCAGACGGGUGAGUAACACGUGGGAACGUACCCUUCGGUUCGGAAUAACGCUGGGAAACUAGCGCCAAUACCGGAUACGCCCUUAUGGGGAAAGGUUUACUGCCGAAGGAUCGGCCCGCGUCUGAUUAGCUAGUUGGUGGGGUAACGGCCUACCAAGGCGACGAUCAGUAGCUGGUCUGAGAGGAUGAUCAGCCACACUGGGACUGAGACACGGCCCAGACUCCUACGGGAGGCAGCAGUGGGGAAUAUUGGACAAUGGGCGCAAGCCUGAUCCAGCCAUGCCGCGUGAGUGAUGAAGGCCUUAGGGUUGUAAAGCUCUUUUGUCCGGGACGAUAAUGACGGUACCGGAAGAAUAAGCCCCGGCUAACUUCGUG